Non-coding RNA from Mycena floridula, 109 nucleotides. Lineage: Eukaryota; Fungi; Basidiomycota; Agaricomycetes; Agaricales; Mycenaceae. The record is from the annotation of a GenBank genome assembly.
GGCAAGAUGGCCGAGCGGUCUAAGGCGUGUGACUCAAGCGUAGCUUGCCUGCAUUCGUAGGUCUUCUCAUCUUCGUAUGAAGGCGGGGGUUCGAAUCCCCUUCUUGUCA